Molecule: long non-coding RNA, 1649 nt
Organism: Pyrus x bretschneideri (Chinese white pear)
Lineage: Eukaryota; Viridiplantae; Streptophyta; Magnoliopsida; Rosales; Rosaceae
Exons: 5
Source: RefSeq, a predicted model, not a curated record
GCGCGGAGUUAGAAAAAAAGAAAAAAAUUAAGCGCUUUAGUCAAACACGAAGCUGUUAUUUCUCUCCGUCCCACUCCCUCUCCCUCGCCCUCUCCCUCUCCCUCUCCCUCGUCGCUGCAAAUACACAGACCGACCGACUGCCUCCUUCGGCUGGAGAUCGAAACUGCCGUCAAAUUCAAAGCCCUCAAAAAGGUUGCGAGCCUAUCGUGUGUUAUGUUUUUUAGGUUGGAUAAAAAAAACCAUCAAAGCUGCCAAGAACUCGAAGAGGGGCAAAUGUUUUGUGGAAGGGACUGAGGAACAGGGCAAAGGUUUUGGAAUCUGCACUAGAUGAUGCUAAUAGUAGAGGAUCCGACAUUGAAGAAUCGUGCAAGGCAAGUGAUGUAGAGAAGACGAGAGCUGCAACUGCGAUUAAUACAAUCUUGUCCAGAGUUAAUGGCCAUCCUAGCUAGUUUGUGGGAAGAGAUCCAGCUUAUCAGGGAACUGAUCUGCACUUGCCAGACAUGAGCAAGGAGUUUAUGCAAGUGAUGCCUUCUUCAAAUUGACGGGUAACAUGUACAAUGUUAGCUAUUUGCCAGGAUCUCUCUAAACCCUUCUAAACUCCUUGUUGUUUGCAAAUUUUUUGAAUAAUCCAACAUAUGUAGUUGUUACACAACUCAUAUGUAGAUGUGUACAAUCUUGGCAGAGCUGUAACUAUGCGUUUUGUGUUGCACAAGUAAUCCUGUUCUCAAGAGCGGUUCAGUUUACUGCUGCAAACUUUCAUCGUGUAUUGUUGACAAAUUGGUUAGGCUUUCAUGGUUUAUCGUAACACUAUGGUGUUAUUGCAGCCCAUCCCCAAUUUCUAAUUUUUAACAGCUUGUUGUAUCAAAGUGUCUUCUAUUGAAUGUGUUUUCUUCUUGCCAAGGAUGCUUUUUAGCCAUCGGUUCUUUAUACGAUUCUCUCUCCUCUCAGAAACCCAGACCCGAACCCAGUUGCCGAUACCCAGAUCAUUGUAGGUCUAUAACCUUUCUCUUAUUUGAAAUUUCAAUUUUCAAGGUUCGAUCCAUCUCUAUUCGCUUAAUCUGUAAUUUGGAGUUUAUUUCUUCUUUUUUGAUUUUCUGGUCAAUAGAUGUUUUCAGGUCCAGUGUUCUUCUUUCGAAAGAUUUCUAAUAGCUUGGUUUGACAAGUGCAAGUCUAUAUUAACUUAGUCUUCUCUUCAUCAAGAUUAUAAUAAUAAUACUAUUAAAUUAGUCUUGUUAUUUUUAUUCCAGGUGCGUGUGCUUGAAAUUAAUGUAGUUGCACUUGCUUAUGAGGCUGGUGAUGGUGAAUUUUAUCUCAAGUAUAUCGUAUGAAUUAUCCCUCUGUUAUGUUUUCUCAUGGAUUCCUAACUUGUGUUACUCUAUCAUUCAGCUAAUGACAAGAAUAUAUUGUAUAUUUUGUCCCUCUAUUGUGCACAACACUCUGAGCAAGGAGCUUUGUACUGGUAAGUUUGAUUGUGCUAGGAAUAUAUUGUACGCUUUGCUUGCUCUGCCUUGUGUUUAUUUCAAGUACAUAGACGAAUAGUUUGAUUAUGUCUAUGCUAGACAUGAGCAAGGAGCAUUGUGUAAGCAAUUUUGAUUCCCCAAUAAGUUACAACUGUCGUCAUUAAUAAAAUUUGAUCAAGUUGUGAGAAA